This 440-nucleotide ribosomal RNA is filed under the name uncultured bacterium. RNAcentral describes it as "partial 16S ribosomal RNA". It matches the Rfam family "Bacterial small subunit ribosomal RNA", at positions 338 to 795 of the family's 1533-position model. The record is from RNAcentral.
CCUACGGGGGGCAGCAGUGGGGGAUAUUGCACAAUGGGGGAAACCCUGAUGCAGCGACGCCGCGUGUGGGAAGACGGUCCUCUGGAUUGUAAACCACUGUCCCCAGGGACGAAGAUAACGGUACCUGGGGAGGAAGCUCCGGCUAACUACGUGCCAGCAGCCGCGGUAAUACGUAGGGAGAGAGCGUUGUCCGGAAUUACUGGGGGUAAAGGGAGCGUAGGCGGGGAUUCAAGUUGGGUGUAAAAACUCACGGCUCAAAUGGUAGUUGCACAAAAAACUACAGCUCUUGAGUGAAGUAGAGGCAGGCGGAAUUCCUAGUGUAGCGGUGAAAUGCGUAGAUAUUAGGAGGAACACCAGUGGCGAAGGCGGCCUGCUGGGCUUUUACUGACGCUGAGGCUCGAAAGUGUGGGGAGCAAACAGGAUUAGAUACCCUGGUAGUC